This 610-nucleotide ribosomal RNA is filed under the name Marinobacter sp. RNAcentral's name for it is "bacterial SSU rRNA". It matches the Rfam family "Bacterial small subunit ribosomal RNA", at positions 39 to 644 of the family's 1533-position model. The record is from RNAcentral. Lineage: Bacteria; Pseudomonadati; Pseudomonadota; Gammaproteobacteria; Pseudomonadales; Marinobacteraceae.
GGGGCGGCUUACCAUGCAGUCGAGCGGUAACAGGGGGUGCUUGCACCCCGCUGACGAGCGGCGGACGGGUGAGUAAUGCAUAGGAAUCUGCCCAGUAGUGGGGGAUAGCCCGGGGAAACCCGGAUUAAUACCGCAUACGCCCUUUGGGGGAAAGCAGGGGAUCUUCGGACCUUGCGCUAUUGGAUGAGCCUAUGUCGGAUUAGCUAGUUGGUGGGGUAAAGGCCUACCAAGGCGACGAUCCGUAGCUGGUCUGAGAGGAUGAUCAGCCACAUCGGGACUGAGACACGGCCCGAACUCCUACGGGAGGCAGCAGUGGGGAAUAUUGGACAAUGGGGGCAACCCUGAUCCAGCCAUGCCGCGUGUGUGAAGAAGGCUUUCGGGUUGUAAAGCACUUUCAGUGAGGAGGAAAACCUUCUGGUUAAUACCCAUGAGGCUUGACGUUACUCACAGAAGAAGCACCGGCUAACUCCGUGCCAGCAGCCGCGGUAAUACGGAGGGUGCAAGCGUUAAUCGGAAUUACUGGGCGUAAAGCGCGCGUAGGUGGUUUGAUAAGCGAGAUGUGAAAGCCCCGGGCUUAACCUGGGAACGGCAUUUCGAACUGUCAGGCUAG